Xenopus laevis (African clawed frog) is the source of this 821-nucleotide long non-coding RNA. RefSeq lists it as uncharacterized. The record is from RefSeq and is a predicted model, not a curated record. The transcript has 2 exons. NCBI's taxonomy places the organism in Eukaryota, Metazoa, Chordata, Amphibia, Anura, Pipidae.
UCUGUUUAUUUGGGCAUUUGCUCUAGGGGCCGCUCUGUAUUUUCGUAAAGUGGGCCGCUCCUGAUCUAUAAUGUUUAUUUCAAACUGCCUGUGGGCUCUAGGACCGCUCCUCCGUCCCAGCUACCACUGUGGCUCCGCCCCUUCCACUCGUCUCCGUUCUCAUGCGGUGCUGUGUGCAGGCCUGCCUGCCUGCCAUCAGGGGGGAACAAGGAAGAUAGUUUUGGGCCAGGCAGGAUUUAAGCUCAAAGGGAGGCCUGCUGUGCUGCUCUUUCAGGAUUAGCCGGCCCCCCUUACGAGCGUGGACAUCACUGGUGCCGAAGACGGAAGUACAGGAACUGAUGUGCAGCGAAUGAGCAUCUGUAGAAGUGAAAUGCGGUCUGCAGCACUCCAUUGGCUCCGGCACUGUCUCAUUUGCAAGCAGCAUGGGAAGGAGGUGAUACACGGGGUAAUGACUGGGAGUUAACGGUCUGCAGAAAUACACCCUGAAAAAACACAAGCAGGUCUGAGUUAAUUCGUUUUGUAAGAAGCCAUUCCAGCAGCACAAGCACAGCGACAAAGUACUAGCAAAGAGAAAUAGAGUUCACAGAUAGCGCUGGGAAUUUUAUUUCCCAUACAGCUGGAAUUAGUGACCCAAUAAUGUUACAGGGAGAGAUGCUCGGUAAAUUGCACAUAUAUAGCACUUGCAUAGGACAAUUAUUAUGUGUUAUUAUGUUAACCUGUAUCAUUUAAUAUUUGACAAAAUUGAACACAGGUCUCUGAAUACGUUAAAAAAAUUACAUUAUUUUCAUUAAAAAUGUUUGCAUUCGGCAGAUGUGAAAUCA